GUAAGUGAGACUGUCAAUAUGCAUAAUGUACUUUGUAAUAUUCAUGUUAUACCAGUGCAGUGGUAUAUUUUUAUGUAACCAACUACCGCACCGAUGUUAGCAUAGUGCUAAUUAGCAGCCUUUUGCACGUGAGCUAGCUAAUUGCUCACAAUGAGCGAAUCUUAUUUGGACAAAUUUGCCUACUUGAGCAGUAAGCCUAGGUUUACAUGUACAGUUAUGUAAUCGAUUUGAUCAUUGUUUUUUUUUGUGUUUCUUCAAUGUAUGCCUUGUGUUUGGCUGGCUCUAAAUGUGUAUCGUUGAUGCCGACCGCCAUUACCUAAGUUACACAUAUGUUAUUGGAGGGCGAGUCCCAAAAUAAAAAAUGCAGCAGCAGUCAACUUCAUCACUGCCCCUUCUGCACAUAUAAGGCUGAACAAUAUAUGGCCAACAACCGCAUCAAAGGUCAUGCUUCAGUGUGGCACAAAGAGUUCACAAUCAUAAAGUGUGGCUUCAGUUGUAGAAAUGCGACACGCUGUGUUUGCUUCAAACAGCCAUGUCACUGCUACUUGGUUUCCACCAGCAUCAUUGAACCCCAUGGAUCACCUGCCGGAGAAUGCAGCAAGUCUGCAGUGGAUUCUUAUUUCAGUAUGAGAACCUGGACAUUGGACAAUAUGUGUCUGAAGAAGGGAGGUUGAAAGAUCGAAAAGGGCAGCGAAAACAAAACACACUACAGGAUUUCAAGACACCCCCCCCCCCCCCCAAGAAGUCCCAGCAUGUCUCAUCAGCAUCCAGCUCUGCAGGAUCAGACGAUACUGAAAACAAAAUGCACGGCGAACUGGGAGCUGUGAACUGGGUUUGUAGUCAACUGUGUGUAAGGCUGAAGGCAUGAUGCAUGACAAGAUAUAAUAGUUGUGAUAACUUGUUGAGUAGUUAUAGAUAAAACCCCUUUAGUAAUAGGGGCUUUUGUUUGUAUGGUGGUAUUGUGAAAGUGGGGUGUAAUUUGACUUGAUCACCCAAUGAGACUCUACUCAUAUUUAUUCUUCCUUUUUCUUCAAGGAAGCAGAUGUUCUUCAAAGAGACACCCUAGAGGCAGCAAGGAGGUGCGAACGACAAAGCAUUUAAAGGCAUUGAUUCCCUCCCUAGUGUAAUUAGGAUGGACGGGAAGACCACAUUACAACCCUUAAAGAACAACGGUUGUAUUAUGGCCUGGAUGAAGAGGAAAAUAUUAUCCUCAAGGAACCAUUCAUGUUCCAGUUACAGAGAGAUGUUCUAUGUGGAGGCAGUUGACAAGAAAAUGACUGUCUGCCUCUUCUGAGGAGCAGGAGUGAAGGCAUUUUUGAGGAGUGGUCAAAACUUGUUUUUGUCUGCUGUGUUAAUUGUUUCAAUUGUUAAUUGUGUUAUGUUGUUUAGUAAAGAUGACGUAGAACUCACCCGAGUCUAUGAUCUCUGAUCUCUGAUGAUUUACUGGAGCUGGUAUAACUUCAUGUACAAAGCAC
This 1475-nucleotide long non-coding RNA is filed under the name Salmo salar (Atlantic salmon). RNAcentral's name for it is "lncRNA (ENSSSAG00000107615.1)". The record is from RNAcentral. Lineage: Eukaryota; Metazoa; Chordata; Actinopteri; Salmoniformes; Salmonidae.